RNAcentral lists this ribosomal RNA (592 nucleotides) under uncultured fungus. RNAcentral's name for it is "eukaryotic LSU rRNA". It matches the Rfam family "Eukaryotic large subunit ribosomal RNA", at positions 40 to 647 of the family's 3401-position model. The record is from RNAcentral. Lineage: Eukaryota; Fungi.
AUAUCAAUAAGGCGAGGAACAGAAACCAACAGGGAUUCCCCCAGUAGUGGCGAAUGAAGCGGGAAAAGCUCAAGUUUGAAAUCUGAAGUCCACUUCAGAGUUGUAAGCUGAAGAGGUGUCGACCGACUUGGUCCGGGCCCAACUUCCUUGGAACAGGAGGUCAUGGAGGGUGAGAACCCCGUCUGUGGCUCGGGUGCCGUAGUCCUUGUGUCGUGCCCUCGAAGAGUCGGGUUGUUUGGGAAUGCAGCUCAAAAUGGGUGGUAAAUUUCAUCUAAGGCUAAAUAUUGGCAAGAGACCGAUAGCAAACAAGUAGAGUGAUCGAAAGAUGAAAAGUACUUUGAAAAGAGAGUGAAACAGUACGUGAAAUUGUUGAAAGGGAAGCGUUUGGCAUCAGCCCAUGGCACCCCUCGAUCAUCUGGGCUUCUGCCUGGUGCACUUGAGGGGUUGCUGGGCCAGCGUCGACUUUGCCUGCCGGAGAAAGGCCUUGGGAAUGUGUCUCCUUUUGGAGAGUUAUAUCCCUUGGCGUCAUGCGGCAUGGCGGGGUCGAGGUCCGCGGUAUUACCUAGGACGCUGGCGUAAUGGUUCCAAGCGA